RNAcentral lists this long non-coding RNA (226 nucleotides) under Mytilus galloprovincialis (Mediterranean mussel). Lineage: Eukaryota; Metazoa; Mollusca; Bivalvia; Mytilida; Mytilidae. The record is from RNAcentral.
AUAGGAGUUAUGUAAUGAGUGCCAACUAGAUAGCUACCAAUAAACACUAAAUGACUAAGAUGAGCAAAAUAAGAGGACACCGUAAGACUAUGAGUUUGACUGUCCCUCUGGUAUCGUUCGCACCUCUUUUUAACAAUCAUUCGAAGCAAUACCGUAGAGUAAACUAUGAAAGCUCUAACAAUAAAAAGAUAUGCGAAAUACUUGUAUGAUGUAUACAACAAGAGAC